Molecule: ribosomal RNA, 334 nt
Filed under: uncultured bacterium
Lineage: Bacteria
Description: bacterial SSU rRNA
Rfam family: Bacterial small subunit ribosomal RNA
Source: RNAcentral
AGGGUUUGAUUCUGGCUCAGGAUGAACGCUAGCUACAGGCUUAACACAUGCAAGUCGAGGGGCAGCAUGUCGGUUGCUUGCAACCAAUGAUGGCGACCGGCGCACGGGUGAGUAACGCGUAUCCAACCUACCGAUGACUCGGGGAUAGCCUUUCGAAAGAAAGAUUAAUACCCGAUGGUAUAUCUGAAAGGCAUCUUUCAGCUAUUAAAGAAUUUCGGUCAUUGAUGGGGAUGCGUUCCAUUAGGUUGUUGGCGGGGUAACGGCCCACCAAGCCAUCGAUGGAUAGGGGUUCUGAGAGGAAGGUCCCCCACAUUGGAACUGAGACACGGUCCAA